GUCUGGAAAGGCGCGCGAUACAGGGUGACAGCCCCGUACACAAAAAUGCACAUACUGUGAGCUCGAUGAGUAGGGCGGGACACGUGGUAUCCUGUCUGAAUAUGGGGGGACCAUCCUCCAAGGCUAAAUACUCCUGACUGACCGAUAGUGAACCAGUACCGUGAGGGAAAGGCGAAAAGAACCCCGGCGAGGGGAGUGAAAAAGAACCUGAAACCGUGUACGUACAAGCAGUGGGAGCCUCUUUAUGGGGUGACUGCGUACCUUUUGUAUAAUGGGUCAGCGACUUAUAUUCUGUAGCAAGGUUAACCGAAUAGGGGAGCCGAAGGGAAACCGAGUCUUAACUGGGCGUUAAGUUGCAGGGUAUAGACCCGAAACCCGGUGAUCUAGCCAUGGGCAGGUUGAAGGUUGGGUAACACUAACUGGAGGACCGAACCGACUAAUGUUGAAAAAUUAGCGGAUGACUUGUGGCUGGGGGUGAAAGGCCAAUCAAACCGGGAGAUAGCUGGUUCUCCCCGAAAGCUAUUUAGGUAGCGCCUCGUGAAUUCAUCUCCGGGGGUAGAGCACUGUUUCGGCAAGGGGGUCAUCCCGACUUACCAACCCGAUGCAAACUGCGAAUACCGGAGAAUGUUAUCACGGGAGACACACGGCGGGUGCUAACGUCCGUCGUGAAGAGGGAAACAACCCAGACCGCCAGCUAAGGUCCCAAAGUCAUGGUUAAGUGGGAAACGAUGUGG
RNAcentral lists this ribosomal RNA (734 nucleotides) under Escherichia coli. RNAcentral's name for it is "partial 23S ribosomal RNA". It matches the Rfam family "Bacterial large subunit ribosomal RNA", at positions 340 to 1078 of the family's 2925-position model. The record is from RNAcentral. Lineage: Bacteria; Pseudomonadati; Pseudomonadota; Gammaproteobacteria; Enterobacterales; Enterobacteriaceae.